UGUUUGUUUUGUGUGGAUAUAUCAAUACAUUAAUUAGCCUAUUAUAUUCAUUCACAUAAAUCAUUCUGAUCAUUCAUAAGUGGAUGGUAACAUUUGCUUUACGACCAAAUUGAAAGUUCAAUGCGACUGCCACUAGGAGGCGAAAUGCGCCAAUCACGUGUCAAUGUUUUGGAGACUGUGGAAAGAUGGUUUAAGAGGAUGCAGGCUUAUUAAAGUUUCAUAACAUGAAACACGUAACUCGGGAAGGGAAAAAGGGAAAAAACACACCAUUGAAACCUGCUUCGGGUUUUCUGGGUUUAACUUGACACAAGAGAAAUGCGAGUUUAUUCUCACUGACUGUCGACCUUCACAACAUCACUUCACUGUAGGACAGAUCUUCUCAGAAUAUAUGUAAUGUAAUUGCAAAUUUGCUGGACUUUUCUCUCAGUUUUGAAUAUUAAUAGGCUAUACUGGAGACGAAAAGAAGAAAAUGCUUUGCCUGUUUGCCUUGCUUUAUUAUUCGUGGUAUCUCAUUGGUGUGUUUGCCAUUAAGACAGAUGAAAUAAAGUCAGUGUUAGAGAUGGAGGGAGAAUCUGUCACACUAAACACUGAUGUUACUGUAACACAGAGAAAUAAGAUACUGUGGAAGUUUGGAGAUCGAGGUGUUCUCAUAGCUCUCUUAGAUGACAAUGAGGUCUCAUUAUUUAAUGGUACUGAAGGACAAUUCAGAGACAGACUGCAGCUGGAUCAUCGGACCGGAUCUCUGACCAUCAUAAACAUCAGAACCAAAGACUCUGGACUUUAUGAACUCAACAUCAAGGGAAGGCCAGGGGAGGGAGUGAGUAAAUUUAUUUUUUCUUUCUGUCUAUUCUCAUCUGCUCAUUCCUGACAUCACCAGAGACUCUUCACAAUGUUCAUCAUCAUCAUCAUCAUCAUCAUCACAGCAGAAUUGUUCAUUGCUGUGUUCAGUGUUCAAUGUGAGUCACGUGACUCUCUCCUGGUACAAAGGAAACAGUUUAUUGUCCAGCAUCAGUGUGUCUGAUCUCAGCAUCAGUCUCUCUCUUCCUCUGGAGGUAGAAUAUCAGGAUAACAACACAUACAGCUGUGUAGUGAACAAUCCAGUCAGAAACCAGAGUCAACAUCUGGACAUCAGCGAACUCUGUCACACAUGUUCAGAAAUUCACUGUUGUGGUGUUACUGAAGCUGCGAUCCGAUUGGCCAUCAUUGUUCUGGUGGGUGUGGCUGCUGUUGCUUUUGUAGUUUAUGACAUCAGAUCCAGAAAUGCAGCGUAAAGCUCUGUUCUUUGUAAAUCUGCUCUGUAACAAUGUGUGGUAAAAAGCACUAUACAAAUAAAUACUGUAUUGCAAUAUGAAUGCCAUCACUGUACCUCUAAUUCCUUCCUAAUUGAAGGAUUGUAACUGUAGCUCAUUCCUGAUUGAAAGAAUAAACCAUGAUAUCUGCCCCUUGUUGGAACUGUCCACAUUCUUUCCCCAUUCUGAUUUUGGAAAAAAAAUAAGGGAACAUGUUGUGAUUUAAUGUGCUUCUGAACAUUGGUAAGCAGUGACACACGAAAUGAAGCUCUCAGUAGCCGCAUGUGGCAAAAAGGUGUAGCUGUUUCUGCUUAUUUGCAUGUGAACACGUGAGAGAGAGAAGAAGUGUGAAAACCAGAGCAGAAACUGACCAAUGCUUUGGAAAGUUUGUUUUAUUUAAACCUGCUUCAAGUAACAAUCAUAUUAUGUUGAUAAAAUAAUUUUUUUAAAGAACAUUGAAUUGUGUUAAUUGUGCUCUCUGCCUGUAGUUAGAAGUUUCUUGUUUGAGGUGAUUUUGCUGCAGCAAGGCUGUGUUCUAUUCAGAGCUAUCCUCAGACUUUAUUUGUGCAAUUUAAUUUCUGAAACCAAAUGUAAUUUUAAUUGGUAACAUACCCAAAUAAAUGAAAACUCACCUGAUCAACACAAAAGAGUCGUGUGU
This is a long non-coding RNA of Cyprinus carpio (common carp), 1947 nucleotides long. RefSeq lists it as uncharacterized. NCBI's taxonomy places the organism in Eukaryota, Metazoa, Chordata, Actinopteri, Cypriniformes, Cyprinidae. The transcript has 4 exons. The record is from RefSeq and is a predicted model, not a curated record.